AUAGAUUCUUGGCCUUUUGGCUAUGAUCAAGUGUAAUACCUGCUCUUAUCAGUUUAAUAUCUAACGCAUCCUUGUCUGAGAACAAUAUAGUAAAUGAAUUUUUGGUUCAGGGAGCUUGCUCUGUCCACUCCACACAUUGACCCUACAUUGCAGUACUUCCAGGAAUGGUGCAUCCCAU
This 178-nucleotide small nuclear RNA is filed under the name Castor canadensis (American beaver). RNAcentral describes it as "U2 spliceosomal RNA (ENSCCNG00000000098.1)". It matches the Rfam family "U2 spliceosomal RNA". Rfam says of the family: U2 is a small nuclear RNA (snRNA) component of the spliceosome (involved in pre-mRNA splicing). Complementary binding between U2 snRNA (in an area lying towards the 5' end but 3' to hairpin I) and the branchpoint sequence (BPS) of the intron results the bulging out of an unpaired adenosine, on the BPS, which initiates a nucleophilic attack at the intronic 5' splice site, thus starting the first of two transesterification reactions that mediate splicing. The record is from Rfam by way of RNAcentral. Lineage: Eukaryota; Metazoa; Chordata; Mammalia; Rodentia; Castoridae.